AAGAAGAGGAUGAGGGCAAACAAGAGAAGGAAGGAGAGCCAUCUCUGAUGAGAUUAGGGCAACACUUGUUGAUCAUGUAAUCAACCACGGUUUGACCAUGAGAGAGGCUGGACUGAGAGUCCAGCCCAACUUGAGUCGAUUUACAGUGGCGUCCAUAAUUCGAACCUUCAGAAAUGAGAACAGAGUGGAAAGGCAAAGACAUCAUCGAGCACGAGGACGCUUGUUUACAGAUGUACAAGAGACUGCAAUUAUAAAUAUGGUUUUGGCCAACAAUGCAAUUAGGAUUUGAGAGAUAAGAGAGCAUAUCUUGAAUAAUGACACCAUAUUCAACAACAUCAAUGCUGUAAGCCUGUCGACCAUACAACGCAUCAUCCAACGGCACCAAGUGACGAUGAAACAACUUUACAAGGUGCCAUUUGAGAGAAACUCGACAGAGUCAAGAAUCUGCGACAUGACUUUGUAGAGAGAGUAUUGGAGAUGGAUGCCCAUGUAAUUUGCCACAAAUUUAUUUAUGUGGAUGAGGUUGGCUUCAACCUCACCAAAACCAGGCACCGUGGACGAAAUGUAAUAGGACAGAGGGCAAUUACCAAUGUCCCUGGACAGCGUGGGGGUAAUAUAACCAUGUGUGCUGCCAUCACUCAAAACGGGGUCCUCCAUCACAAUGCACACUGGGUCCAUACAACACCGACCAUAUACUCACUUUUCUGGAUGAAGUUCACACAAUGCUCAUCCCUAAUCCAGAUCAGGCACCUGCUAGAUUUGUGGUUAUAUGGGACAAUGUUAGUUUUCACCGGGCUGUUCUGGUCCAAAACUGGUUUGCCACCCAUCCACAAUUUGUAGUUUUGUACCUACCCCCAUAUUCACCUUUUCUAAAUCCCAUAGAGAAAUUCUAUGAUCGCCAACCCUUUGCCCGCAUGCCGCUUCUCCAGGCAAUGGAGGAUGCUUGUGGGGACAUAGAGGUUGCCUCUGUCCAAGGUUGGAUACGCCAUGCUAGGAGAUACUGCCCUCGAUGUUUAGCAAGAGAAAACGUAUCUUGUGAUGUGGACGAAGUAUUGUGGCCAGACCCAGCUCAGAGAAGAGAUGAAGCUUAGCACUGGGGACGCCCCCCCGCCAAUUCCUGGACUGGGACCCC
Cyprinus carpio (common carp) is the source of this 1132-nucleotide long non-coding RNA. RefSeq lists it as uncharacterized. NCBI's taxonomy places the organism in Eukaryota, Metazoa, Chordata, Actinopteri, Cypriniformes, Cyprinidae. The record is from RefSeq and is a predicted model, not a curated record.